GUAUAAUCUACACUUUUGCAGACAAUAAAGUUCUUUCAGCGCACUUUGUAAGCUGGCAAAAUGCACAGAAAUGGCAUUAUCACGUUGCACACAGCUAAUUUGCAAGCAAAGGACGAGGAGGUGGAAUAUAGCCAUAGACGGGAACGGGGUACAAAAAGAUCGGCCAAAGAGAAAAGAAAACUGAAUUAUAUUUGCACAAU
Molecule: long non-coding RNA, 200 nt
Filed under: Drosophila melanogaster (fruit fly)
Lineage: Eukaryota; Metazoa; Arthropoda; Insecta; Diptera; Drosophilidae
Description: long non-coding RNA:CR45368
Source: RNAcentral